GGUCAUGAGUAUCAGCGUCAAGCCCCGGCUCGCUGAUCGGCAACCCUCCAGUGCGGCGGGGUGCUCCGGGUGACGACCGGAUGGCGGUCAUCCGACGCCAUAAGCGCUCAAU
Molecule: non-coding RNA, 112 nt
Filed under: Rhodococcus sp. (in: high G+C Gram-positive bacteria)
Lineage: Bacteria; Bacillati; Actinomycetota; Actinomycetes; Mycobacteriales; Nocardiaceae
Description: Rhodococcus sp. SAM-IV sequence
Rfam family: SAM (S-adenosyl methionine) riboswitch aptamer
About the family: SAM-IV is a mRNA element that regulates gene expression via direct sensing of S-adenosylmethionine (SAM or AdoMet). SAM-IV riboswitches share conserved nucleotide positions with the previously described SAM-I riboswitches sequence analysis and molecular recognition experiments suggest that SAM-I and SAM-IV riboswitches share similar ligand binding sites, but have different scaffolds.
Source: RNAcentral